Molecule: long non-coding RNA, 969 nt
Organism: Brienomyrus brachyistius
Lineage: Eukaryota; Metazoa; Chordata; Actinopteri; Osteoglossiformes; Mormyridae
Exons: 3
Source: RefSeq, a predicted model, not a curated record
CUGCUGUGGCCCUGAUCAAUGUGUGUGUCUGUGUGUGGGGGGAUUAGGUUUAUAUUACAUUGCGGAGACCAAAUGUCCCCCAAAAUGUAAAAAAGAACCCGUUUUUUCACAUUGUGGGGACCAUUUUUCAGGUCCCCACAAAGAUCUAUGAUCAAUAAAGUAAAAAUGCCAAAACUCUUGCAUUUCAUUUGGUUGCUUAUGGUUAAGCUUAGGGCUGGGUAGGGGUUAAGGUUGUCAUGUUGUGAUUAGAGUUUUCGUUGAAUUACCUGUUGACUGAAGGAAUCCCUUAAUGUUUAACAUUUUAAUUCAUAUCAAUUUAAAGUGAACGAGGGAGGUGCUGGGUAUAGAUUAGCAGUGGUGGCGUGCUGUGGUGUAGAGGUGCCGCUGGGUGUAGAUUAGCGGUGGUGGCGUGCUGUGGUGUAGAGGUGCCGCUGGGUAUAGAUUAGCGGUGGUGGCGUGCUGUGGUGUAGAGGUGCCGCUGGGUGUAGAUUAGCGGUGGUAGAGGUGCCGCUGGGUGUAGAUUAGCGGUGGUGGCGUGCUGUGGUGUAGAGGUGCCGCUGGGUAUAGAUUAGCGGUGGUGGCGUGCUGUGGUGUAGAGGUGCCGCUGGGUGUAGAUUAGCGGUGGUAGAGGUGCCGCUGGGUGUAGAUUAGCGGUGGUGGCGUGCUGUGGUGUAGAGGUGCCGCUGGGUAUAGAUUAGCGGUGGUGGCGUGCUGUGGUGUAGAGGUGCCGCUGGGUGUAGAUUAGCGGUGGUAGAGGUGCCGCUGGGUGUAGAUUAGCGGUGGUGGCGUGCUGUGGUGUAGAGGUGCCGCUGGGUAUAGAUUAGCGGUGGUGGCGUGCUGUGGUGUAGAGGUGCCGCUGGGUAUAGAUUAGCGGUGGUGGCGUGCUGUGGUGUAGAGGUGCCGCUGGGUGUAGAUUAGCGGUGGUGGCGUGCUGUGGUGUAGAGAUGCUGCUCUUGACCACCUGCCCUG